Molecule: ribosomal RNA, 511 nt
Filed under: uncultured bacterium
Lineage: Bacteria
Description: bacterial SSU rRNA
Rfam family: Bacterial small subunit ribosomal RNA
Source: RNAcentral
AGAGUUUGAUCCUGGCUCAGGAUGAACGCUAGCUACAGGCUUAACACAUGCAAGUCGAGGGGCAGCAUGGUCAAAGCUUGCUUUGACUGAUGGCGACCGGCGCACGGGUGAGUAACGCGUAUCCAACCUGGCCCUUAGUAGGGGAUAGCCCGUAGAAAUGCGGAUUAAUACCCUAUGUUGUAUUUUGAGGACAUCUGACGAAUACCAAAGGUUUACCGCUAGGGGAUGGGGAUGCGUCCGAUUAGCUUGCCGGCGGGUAACGGCCCACCGGGGCGACGAUCGGUAGGGGUUCUGAGAGGAAGGUCCCCCACACUGGAACUGAGACACGGUCCAGACUCCUACGGGAGGCAGCAGUGAGGAAUAUUGGUCAAUGGGCGGGAGCCUGAACCAGCCAAGUAGCGUGCAGGAUGACGGCCCUAUGGGUUGUAAACUGCUUUUGUACGGGAAUAAAGUCUGGGACGUGUCCCGGUUUGUAUGUACCGUAAGAAUAAGGACCGGCUAAUUCCGUGCC